UACGAAGGGGGCUAGCGUUGCUCGGAAUCACUGGGCGUAAAGCGCACGUAGGCGGCUUGUUAAGUCAGGGGUGAAAUCCUGGAGCUCAACUCCAGAACUGCCUUUGAUACUGGCGAGCUUGAGUCCGGGAGAGGUGAGUGGAACUGCGAGUGUAGAGGUGAAAUUCGUAGAUAUUCGCAAGAACACCAGUGGCGAAGGCGGCUCACUGGCUCGGUACUGACGCUGAGGUGCGAAAGCGUGGGGAGCAAACAGG
Molecule: ribosomal RNA, 253 nt
Filed under: uncultured bacterium
Lineage: Bacteria
Description: partial 16S ribosomal RNA
Rfam family: Bacterial small subunit ribosomal RNA
Source: RNAcentral